Molecule: long non-coding RNA, 272 nt
Organism: Sapajus apella (tufted capuchin)
Lineage: Eukaryota; Metazoa; Chordata; Mammalia; Primates; Cebidae
Exons: 2
Source: RefSeq, a predicted model, not a curated record
UAGGAUUCAGUAGAUUCCUUCCUUCAUUUCUUUCCUUUGUAUGACCACCUCCCCUUCCCAGUGCAAGACUGGAGGUUUACUCUUGAGAGGUGUUGAACCUAAGGGACUUUGAACUUGGGUGGGAGAGGCAAACUGAAAAAUAGGAGGUUUAGGCCGGGCUCAGUGGUGCAUGCCUGUAAUCCCAGUUCGGGAGGCCGCAGCAGGCAGAUCUCGAGGAUAAGAGAUAGAGACUAUCCUGGCCAACAUGGUGAAACCCUGUCUCUACUAAAAAA